RNAcentral lists this ribosomal RNA (499 nucleotides) under uncultured Glomeromycotina. RNAcentral's name for it is "partial small subunit ribosomal RNA". It matches the Rfam family "Eukaryotic small subunit ribosomal RNA", at positions 591 to 1092 of the family's 1831-position model. The record is from RNAcentral. Lineage: Eukaryota; Fungi; Glomeromycota.
CCAAUAGCGUAUAUUAAAGUUGUUGCAGUUAAAAAGCUCGUAGUUGAAUUUCGGGAUCAAGGGAUCGGUCAUGCCUUGGUAUGUACUGGUCUUAUUGGUUCUCACCUUCUAAAGAACCAUGAUGUCAUUCAUUUGAUGUUAUGGGGAAUUAGGACUGUUACCUUGAAAAAAUUAGAGUGUUUAAAGCAAGCUUACGCUUGAAUACAUUAGCAUGGAAUAAUGAAAUAGGACAUCAGAUUCUAUUUUGUUGGUUUCUAGGAUCGAUGUAAUUAUUAAUAGGGAUAGUUGGGGGCAUUAGUAUUCAAUUGUCAGAGGUGAAAUUCUUGGAUUUAUUGAAGACUAACUACUGCGAAAGCAUUUGCCAAGGAUGUUUUCAUUAAUCAAGAACGAAAGUUAGGGGAUCGAAGACGAUCAGAUACCGUCGUAGUCUUAACCAUAAACUAUGCCGACUAGGGAUCGGAUGAUGUUAAUUUUUUAAUGACUCAUUCGGCACCUUACG